GAACAAGGGGAGCUGGGUCUUUCCCGGCUGAGACAGAGGUAAGAGAGCCUCUGAGACCCUGGAACCUGAUCCGGGUAAUGCCGGCGUAGGAAACAGA
RNAcentral lists this non-coding RNA (97 nucleotides) under bovine gut metagenome. The record is from RNAcentral.